AACGUAGGACACAAGCGUUAUCCGGAGUUACUGGGCGUAAAGGGCGUGUAGGCGGACGUGUAAGUCUAUUCUGAAAGCUCCUGGCUAAACUGGGAGAGGCGAAUGGAGACUGCAUAUCUAGAGUGAGGAAGAGGAAAGUGGAAUUCCGGGUGGAGCGGUGAAAUGCGUAGAGAUCCGGAGGAACACCGACGGCGCAGGCAGCGUCCUGGCCGCUUGCUGACACUGAGGCACGAAAGCUGGGGGAGCAAACAGG
RNAcentral lists this ribosomal RNA (253 nucleotides) under uncultured bacterium. RNAcentral describes it as "partial 16S ribosomal RNA". It matches the Rfam family "Bacterial small subunit ribosomal RNA", at positions 524 to 776 of the family's 1533-position model. The record is from RNAcentral.